Molecule: long non-coding RNA, 1479 nt
Filed under: Canis lupus familiaris (dog)
Lineage: Eukaryota; Metazoa; Chordata; Mammalia; Carnivora; Canidae
Description: lncRNA (ENSCAFG00845002716.1)
Source: RNAcentral
CCAUUUUAUCUGAGUUUCUCAACGAAUGUUCAUUUAAUACCUACUGCUGUGUUUUCAUAUCCUAUUGGCUUUCACAAAGCUGGUUUAGAUUAGGUAUAGUUUCUGUACUUUUCAUGUUCUAAUUUUGUUUUUUAGGGUUAGAUUGAACUAGCAUGCAUAAUCACACUAUUAAAGGUGCAUGAAAAAUGUAUAAGUGAUUUUUGCUUUCUUUUUCCCUUCUUUCCAUCCUCCCUUCUUAGCAUGAACCCUAUUAUCUGUAGUUUUAUUUAUCCAAAUAUCUGCAGCUCAAAUCAGGCACUUAAUGGCAGCACCUUUGGUUCAAUCUCCAGAAAAUUUGAACCCGAUAAUAAUGAUAGAAUAAUAGAUACAAAAAGGGAGUUUUAGCAUCAAAACUCAUACAAUAAUAUAUUUAUUUUUAAAAAGAUAGGCUCAGUCUAUGAAUUCUGAUCAUGAUGCUUAUUAUCAAAGACAUUUAGUAAAUGAUGAUCUGAUCUCAAUAUAAUUAUAGGCAUCAUGCAUCAGAAAAGCCAUGGUAAAAAGCCUUUACAAAUAUAGUCAAAGAAGUCAAAAAAGCAUAAGAAAAAAAGCAAGAAGAGGAGACAUAAAUCUGACUCUCCAGAGUCAGAUGCUGAGCGAGAGAAGGAUAUAAAAGAAAAAGACCGAGAAAGUGAAAAAGAUAGAACUAGACAAAGAUCAGAAUCAAAACACAAAUCACCUAAGAAAAAGACUGGAAAGGAUUCUGGGAAUUGGGAUACUUCUGGCAGUGAACUGAUUGAAGGGGAAUUGGAAAAGCACAGAAGGACCCUUUUGGAGCAACUGGAUGAUGAUCAAUAAAUUAUACCAAAUAUAUGUUUACAGUAUGAUUUAAAGUCUAAUUCAGACCAGGGACUCUAUUUUAAAGUUCAAUUGAAAUAAAACACUGGGUUUUAAUUAUAUCAUAGGAAACAAAAAAAGUGCAUUUAAGUAUUGUUAUUUGGACUUUAUAAAAGCAAAGGAAAUUGAAAAUAACUUUUGAUUCUGUAUCAAGAAUCAUAUUUUCAUAUGGUCAUAACUGUCUUUCUGUGACCCUUUCAUAGGGCACUGCAGGAUGGAUUAAAGGUGGCAAUUUACUGAAAAAAAAAAAAGUAAAUAUUGUAAGGUAUUUAGUCAGUUGCUAUAUUUUGAAAUUGCAUGAAAUGCAUUUUAAUCAUAUAGGUCAAAGGCUAGAAACAAUCUCUCAUAUAAGGAAAAACCAAAAGCUGUGAUGAUGGAGAGGUUAGGCCACAUUCAUUAGGUGCUGAAGGAAAAGUACUUACACUUUUGCAACCUAAAGAGUAUGAAAAAGUGAAAAAUUAAGACUAUGUUCAAAUUACCAUAAGUAAACUUGAAAUCUAGUAAUUGAGAUUUGAGUCCUGAUAUGCUUGAAGCCAGACAUGCAUCCAGCUGGAUUUAUCAUCCUUCAAGAGAAGAUUUUUUUCAAAAGAACAACUGAGAUUUCCA